Molecule: transfer-messenger RNA, 416 nt
Filed under: Coxiella sp. (in: g-proteobacteria)
Lineage: Bacteria; Pseudomonadati; Pseudomonadota; Gammaproteobacteria; Legionellales; Coxiellaceae
Also listed under: 2 other names
Description: Coxiella sp. (in: Bacteria) transfer-messenger RNA
Rfam family: transfer-messenger RNA
About the family: Bacterial tmRNA, also known as 10Sa RNA or SsrA, is named for its dual tRNA and mRNA-like properties. Its role is to liberate the mRNA from a stalled ribosome.
Source: RNAcentral
GGGGGCGACCUGGCUUCGACGCGGGUUACAAAACCUGAGGUGCAUGUCGAGUAGAUAACAGUGCUCGUAAAUCCCUUGUUAUAAACUUAUAGUUGCAAAUGAUAGCUAUAAAGGUGUAGCAGCUGCUAACGAUGCAAACGGAGCUUUGGCUCUAGCCGCAUAAUUAGCACUCUGGUCGCUUAAUAACCGACCGCACCCGAUUCCGAUACAAUUGCUUGUGUAGUUGAGGAAUCGUCAUACUUAACAAGAUCGCUGUUGGCCAUGGUCCAUCAUCCAGCAGUUAAAUAGUAGGACUCGCUAGUCGCUUUACCCUGCCCGUCGGGUGGCGCCUAGUUAACUUUAAAGGCGAGGCUAAGCAUGUAGAUCCUAAGGCGGAGGAUCAGCGGACGCGGGUUCGAUUCCCGCCGCCUCCACCA